Long non-coding RNA from Homo sapiens (human), 2524 nucleotides. Lineage: Eukaryota; Metazoa; Chordata; Mammalia; Primates; Hominidae. The record is from Ensembl.
AGAAUUUCAGAGAUGCAACAAGGAUGGAAUUACUGUCCUCGUUCUAGGUUUAGAAGGCAGGCAUGCAAGUACCUAGAGAAAGAGAACAGAUGAAAGCUGGCAGCCUCUUCAUUUACAGACAGCACAAUUUUCUGAAUUUAGCAAGACUCUUCUUUUCCCCCAGAACGCUCUAUAUCAGCAUGGGCCUGUGACCUUCUGUGACUGAUAAAAUAGUCCAGCUUCCAAAAGGAGAGAAAGAAGACAAAAAGGAGUGAGAAAAAUGUCAAAGAAAUAAGGCUGGAACACAGAUGUUGUGGGGGCUCAGCUUUGAGUUUUCAAAUAAGGACAACACGUGGGGCAACAGGAUGGAAGAAAUCUGGGUCCCUGAAUGACUUCAUGGAGAAGAGCCAUUCAGCUAGCAGGACUACUUAUAUCUGGAUUAUUAUGUAGGAGAUACACAAACUUUUAUCUUACUUAAGAAAAAUCAGAUUCAUCAAUUGAAUCUUUGGCCAACAACUGUUUGGGAACGAUGUUAACAUCACAUAAACAAGUCACGUGCAGAGAAAAGGUAUUUAACCUGAGUCUUUAUGGAAUUUCCCAGGCCACAUCUCCCAUCAAAUUCUCGACUAUGAAUUUCUAAGGAACUAUAGACUUUUAUACUACAAGUAACAAACCUACGUUCAAAGACAGAAAUAACUUCUGCAAAUUAAUAAGGAAAGAAAAUGUCAGAAUCUGGGCAUAUUUCAUGUGUUGUGAUGGUGCCAAUCUCAUGGACUGUCUACUCCUGGUUUGGUGUGCUCUUACAAGAAAAGUGUCAAAACCUUGGUCAAGUGCAAUGCACAGGAGUUGCAUCCACGACAGCAGUUAGUCAGAAAGAAAAGAUAUUUGUGAAAUGGCUGCUGUGGCUGGACUCUGUCCUAGAUUCUGGUGACGCAUUGGUGAAUAAGUCAAACCUUGCUCUGACUGUUGGAAGCUUAUAUUUUCAUGGUGGAAAGACAAAUAAUGAACAACUAAAUAAACAAGAUGUUUUUAGAGAGUGACAGAAGAACUAAAAUCAGGUCAAGAACUAGGCUUACAUCAACACUGACUAAUUUAGAUUAACAAAGGUUUAUCAAGCAAGCAGCAGGGGAUCCAUUGGAAUGCCAUAAAUAACUGAAUAGUGUUAUAUGGAAUCAAGAGGAUAUCGACUGAGUUGCUGUCCUGGGAACACUGGCGUGGCUUCUAAUUUUCUUCAGCACUGCUCUAUAAUAGGACUACCCUGCAUGUGUUUCCAGAUGGUGGUUUUUCCUGAGUGCCAAAGUUAAGUCAAUGCCACUAGGGAAAGUGGGAGAGGGCUAAGGAAACUGUCCUACUAUCCACAUUUAGGGAAUUCUAACUGAAGGAAUGAUUUCAUCUCUCAGCAUCUCUUAGUGACUUAAUAUUCAAAAAUUUUAACUGAUAUUGUUUCAUUUACCACAAGAUAGAAAUUCCAGCAAUGUAAAUUAGUUAUUAAUAAGUCCUAGAUUUCAUUGUUAAAAAGUUAAAUUUAAUGAUUCUACAGGGAAUACAUUUAAAGGAACAAAGUAAAAGUGAGAAGAAGUAAUAAAACAUAAAAUUCAGUGUUUUAGCUCAUGUCUUUCAAAAGCUUUAUAGACCUAAUUCCAACACUUUGCAAUUGUUCUUGUGUACCUCUUGUCCCCCCUUCCAAGUUUCUCACACUCCUCAUUGACUCAAAACCUGUUAUUUUCCAAGUCCCAUCCAAAUCAUCUCUAAUCCUAGUUUUGGAAGACCAUUUUCAUCUUCCUCCUGACCUCCCUCCCGUUCUUUGUCUCUUGUGAUUUUAUUAUGUCAGCUUCACCUAUAGAUAGGCUUUUUCUCCUGUCCACAUCAAGCCUCUGUGGUUCAUUCCUUCUCUGCUGGCUCUCCAUUUCACCUUUUUAAAAGUCUAGGAAUUAGCUUGACUGAGAAAACUUCUCUAUAGAAGGUAGAGAAAGGUGGAGGAAAGUUAACUGAGAAGACAAUUAAGACUGGUGUGAGAUGAUAGAAAUGUUGUGAUGCCAUGAAAGGGAAGGAUGUUUUGAUUUUCUUUGGUUGUUUGAAUAUCUGUCACUUACCAUCUUGUAUAUAGUUUUGCUGCUCUAAUUUCAGUAUUGAUUUUAUAAAUCCCAACUUUCAUUUUGUUUUUCAUAGCACAACAAAAGAAGUUCCCUGAACUUUGAACAGUAAAGUCAAAUUACAUGGAAACCAAAUGUCUAUAGGUCUUUAUAAUCCUAAAUUAUGUGUUACUCAAGAAAUGGCAUAAUUAAUGCAACCUAGGUAAUUGUACAACAUGUGCAUGCCUUAAGAGACCUGGAUUCUCUAGUACUAUGCUCUCCAUGUAAAUGCCCGAGUUUUAUGUUGCUACUUACAUUCAGAUUUAUAGAAGCAACCUGAGAAAAAUCUAAGUGAAGGCUGUAUCAUAUUAAUUUCCUCUCAGUGAAUAUCCUAUGGAUUUUCCUAAAAUAUCAGUAUGUACAUUUUGACAUAUUUGAAUAUAUAGCUCUGUAGUAGUCCAUUCUCAUGCUGC